RNAcentral lists this ribosomal RNA (256 nucleotides) under uncultured bacterium. RNAcentral's name for it is "partial 16S ribosomal RNA". It matches the Rfam family "Bacterial small subunit ribosomal RNA", at positions 334 to 607 of the family's 1533-position model. The record is from RNAcentral.
UGGCCCUACGGGGCGCAGCAGUGGGGAAUAUUGCACAAUGGGGGAAACCCUGAUGCAGCAACGCCGCGUGAGUGAAGAAGUAUUUCGGUAUGUAAAGCUCUAUCAGCAGGGAAGAGAAUGACGGUACCUGACUAAGAAGCCCCGGCUAACUACGUGCCAGCAGCCGCGGUAAUACGUAGGGGGCGAGCGUUAUCCGGAUUUACUGGGUGUAAAGGGAGCGUAGACGGUUCUGCAAGUCUGAAGUGAAAGCCCGUGG